GGAAGUUCAACGGAAAACAUUUAUCAGGAACUUCUAUCCAGAAAGGAAGAUAUGUUGUUUUGAGGAAAAGUGCAAAUAUUACUCAGCACACCAAGGGCAAAGGAAAUAGGAAGUGGGUUAGAGAGUUUUCUGAAAUAAUCUGUCACUGAAAUGUGAGAAAACACACUUCUGUAUUUGCACAUUUUUGUUUUAAAUUGUGAUACAACUCAAGAAGAUGACCUUUUUGCAGUAUUGUGCCACUAAGCUUCUUAAAGGUGGAUCAUGGUUUCAUAAUGAGAAAUGGAAACACACGUUCUGAGUGACUAUUUUGAAGAGAUCCAUGUCUGAAGGUGAAAAAGCAAAUGUCUCCGAAAUAUUUUGGCAGGAAUACACAUCAGGCUAACUGGACAAUAAGACACAGGAUUUUUCUUACUGCAAUUUUUAAAAACUGGGACCUUUACAUUUUCAUUCUAAUACUUUGGAUAAAUGCCUUCUAAAAUAAUUAUAGUAAACAUUUUGGUGAAAAGUGGGUACCACCAAUCAAUGUAUUCUUUGAAGAUUUCUGGGGGGAGAAAAUCAAGGUUGGGGGCCUUCCCAUUUCUCAUUCAGGAUAUACAUGAUCUUACUUGAGAUUCAGAGGUGAGAUAAUAAUCUAUUUGCAGCUUUUAUCCUUCCAACCAUUUUUAUAAAAUGAAAUAUAUCCAGGGAUGGGCACCAUCUUCCCAUACCAUGUGUCUUGUAAAAUUUCAAUAUUAAAAUUAUUAAUAAAA
Molecule: long non-coding RNA, 749 nt
Organism: Alligator sinensis (Chinese alligator)
Lineage: Eukaryota; Metazoa; Chordata; Crocodylia; Alligatoridae
Exons: 3
Source: RefSeq, a predicted model, not a curated record